ACCAUCAGGGAGCUGGAAAAAAUGGUUGCUGAAUGUAAGUUGUGUAGUUACUUUGCCCUUGGUUAAUUUCAGGACAUUCUAAUUGGCUGAUACCAAGUUAAUUCUGUGUUUGUGACGAUUUCAGCAAGGCCACCUGCGAUUGACAAACAAGUUGUGACGAUUGCAGCAAGGCCACCUGCGAUUGACAAUCAAGAAGCUGAUCCAUCACAAGCAAUUAAAAGAAGACUGCCUAGGGAAAUCAAGCUGAAGCUAGCC
RNAcentral lists this long non-coding RNA (255 nucleotides) under Linum usitatissimum (flax). RNAcentral's name for it is "long non-coding RNA (LUSI_LNC005498)". The record is from RNAcentral. Lineage: Eukaryota; Viridiplantae; Streptophyta; Magnoliopsida; Malpighiales; Linaceae.